UUAAGUUCAGCGGGUAGUCCUACCUGAUUUGAGGUCAAAAUUGUCAAAGUUGUCCUUGUAAGGGACGGUUAGAAGCAGGUCCUCUAAAUGUCUCCUGAUCCACGGCGUAGAUAAUUAUCACACCAAUAGAUUAGAGGACGGAACCCACUAAUACAUUUCAGAGGAGCAGACCGCUCGAGGCGGACCUGCAACCCCCACAU
RNAcentral lists this unclassified non-coding RNA (200 nucleotides) under uncultured Coprinopsis. Its description in RNAcentral is "sequence contains ITS2". Lineage: Eukaryota; Fungi; Basidiomycota; Agaricomycetes; Agaricales; Psathyrellaceae. The record is from RNAcentral.